Long non-coding RNA from Sphaeramia orbicularis (orbiculate cardinalfish), 106 nucleotides. RefSeq lists it as uncharacterized. NCBI's taxonomy places the organism in Eukaryota, Metazoa, Chordata, Actinopteri, Kurtiformes, Apogonidae. The record is from RefSeq and is a predicted model, not a curated record. The transcript is spliced from 3 exons.
CAAUUAUCAGUGAUUUACUGCAGCUUCAUCUUGUUAAAUCUGUCUUCUCAUCUCAGUUUUAUGAAAUAAAUGUGUUUUUUUAUUGAUCUGAAAAGAGUCAGGUUUC